This is a non-coding RNA of Otolemur garnettii (small-eared galago), 286 nucleotides long. The record is from Rfam. Lineage: Eukaryota; Metazoa; Chordata; Mammalia; Primates; Galagidae.
GCCGGGCACUGUGGCCCGCAUCUGUACUCGGGCGGCUGAGACAAUAGGAUCUCUUGAACCCAGGAGAUCUGGGCUGUAGUGUGCUAUGCCCAUCAGGGGACCACACUGAGCUUGGCAUCAUAUGGUGACCUCCCAGGAGCGGGGGGCCACCAGGUUGCCUAAGGAGGGGUGAACCCAUCCAGGUCGGAAACAGAGCAAGGCAAACUCCUGUGCUGAUUAGUAGUGGGAUUGCCUCUGAAUAGCCACUGCACUCCGGCCUGGGCAACAUAGUGAGACCUGGUCUCGU